CCUACGGGUGGCAGCAGUGGGGAAUAUUGCACAAUGGGGGGAACCCUGAUGCAGCGACGCCGCGUGGGUGAGGAAGUACUUCGGUAUGUAAAGCUCUAUCAGCAGGGAAGAAAAUGACGGUACCUGUCUAAGAAGCCCCGGCUAACUACGUGGCAGCAGCCGCGGUAACACGGAGGGGGCAAGCGUUAUCCGGAUUUACGGGGUGUAAAGGGGGCGUAGACGGGGUGCCAAGUCUGGAGUGAAAGGCCGGGGCUCAAACCCGGGACUGCAUUGGAAACUGGCAUGCUGGAGUGCCGGAGGGGCAAGCGGAAUGCCUAGUGUAGCGGUGAAAUGCGUAGAUAUUAGGCGGAACACCGAUUGCGAAGGCGGCUUGCUGGACGGUAACUGACGUUGAGGCUCGAAAGCGUGGGGAGCAAACAGGAUUAGAUACCCCAGUAGUC
Molecule: ribosomal RNA, 440 nt
Filed under: uncultured bacterium
Lineage: Bacteria
Description: partial 16S ribosomal RNA
Rfam family: Bacterial small subunit ribosomal RNA
Source: RNAcentral